AGAUGUGAAAAUGGAGAAAUGAAAGGUCAAAUACCUUGCUGAAUGUGAGCAGUUAAGAUUUCACCUCAGUUUUUCAGGAAAGUUGUCUGGCUGGCUAGCAGAAGGAAAUGGAGAGUAAAGCUCAUCAGCAGAGGAAGCAGCUACAGAUACCAUACUCAGCCACAACAAAGGAUCCAAUCCAUCACAGCUUUUUCCACUAGAUUUGUUUUUUUCCAAAAUCCAGACUGAUCCUAUUCUGACACUACUUUACAAAUCCAAUGUAUUUUCAGUCUGCUUUCCCCUCAUUUCCUGCUGUUUAGUUGCACAUUGAAGCUAAUCUGUGCUCUCAAAAGUUGUUAUGUUGUUGACCCAAAUAAUUAUCAGACUAUCUCAGUACUACCAAUUGCUUCAGUUGUUUUUGAAAUUGGUUUGAAAAGUGUGGCUUUCAAAUCUACUCAAGAGACUAUAACUGUUUUUGUCUAUAUUGAGUGGGUUCUGUAGCUAAGUGAGAUGACUUAGUUGCUCGAGUCUCAUAUUUAUAUAGACUUAGUCCCUAAGAAAAUGAAUGAGAGGAAUAAAUCUUAUAAUGAUUUACAUUACCUCAGUGUUGUAAUGGAUUUGAAAAGUUUAAUGAGAAUUUGAU
Non-coding RNA from Lonchura striata (white-rumped munia), 622 nucleotides. The record is from RefSeq and is a predicted model, not a curated record. Lineage: Eukaryota; Metazoa; Chordata; Aves; Passeriformes; Estrildidae.